Molecule: long non-coding RNA, 541 nt
Filed under: Bos mutus (wild yak)
Lineage: Eukaryota; Metazoa; Chordata; Mammalia; Artiodactyla; Bovidae
Description: lncRNA (ENSBMUG00000007606.1)
Source: RNAcentral
AGGCAGUGUAUUUCGUUUGGGUCAAAAGAAUUUAUUUUCCCUUAUUUUCUCGUAUAGUUCCUCUGCUUGAAAAAUGCCUGCAAAAUUCCAUCACACCUUUACGGGGACCAGUUUGGGUCUCUAAGGGAGAAGGUUUCAGCCCCUCAGGAGCUAAGAUGUACAUCCAAGGAGUUCUUUUGGCCUUGUACCAACGAUUAAAAUCUGCAAAAAAAUAUUCUAAACAGUUGAAACUGGCUGUGAAUGAACAGAAAGGGAAAGUUACUGAAAAAGUCAUUCUUUCAAUGACAGUGAAAGAACACCGUCAGGCGCAAGCAGAAGUGAACAGGCUGAUUGAUGAAUUGCAGACAGCUAUCAAAAGCAACAGAGGUCAUCUCUCUAAACUUGGCCCCCAAUUACAGGCUGAGCAGGAGCAAUUCUCCUCUUAUGUCUACCAACACAUUAAAAGCCUUCCAGCAAACACUCUUAUCCCAGGAGGCCUGCAGCUCAAGGUGGGUGUCAUUCUGUGACUAUCAAUGGGUUCAGCCAGAGACAAAACACUCUG